GGCAAAGUUAAUAAGGGCGCACGGUGGAUGCCUUGGCAUUAAGAGCCGACGAAGGACGUGACUAACGACGAUAUUCUAGGGGGAGCAGUAAGUACGCAUUGAUCCCUAGGUCUCCGAAUGGGGAAACCCACUAUGUUAUGCAUAGUAUCCGUAAGUGAAUACAUAGCUUACGCGAAGGUAACGCAGAGAACUGAAACAUCUAAGUACCUGCAGGAAGAGAAAGUAAAAACGAUUUCCUAAGUAGCGGCGAGCGAACGGGAAACAGGCCAAACCAAGAAGCUUGCUUCUUGGGGUUGUAGGACUGCAACGUGGACUUAAAGUCUAUAGAAGAAUUACCUGGGAAGGUAAGCCAAAGAGAGUAAUAGCCUCGUAUUUGAAAUAGACUUUAUACCUAGCAGUAUCCUGAGUAGGGCUGGACACGCGAAAUCCAGUUUGAAUCCGGGAGGACCAUCUCCCAAGCCUAAAUACUCCUUAAUGACCGAUAGUGAACCAGUACCGUGAGGGAAAGGUGAAAAGAACCCCGGGAGGGGAGUGAAAUAGCACCUGAAACCGUGUGCCUACAAGAAGUUCGAGCCCGUCAAUGGGUGAGAGCGUGCCUUUUGUAGAAUGAACCGGCGAGUUACGUUAUGAUGCGAGGUUAAGCUGAAGAGGCGGAGCCGUAGCGAAAGCGAGUCUGAAUAGGGCGCUUUAGUAUCAUGAUGUAGACCCGAAACCUAGUGACCUAUCCAUGAGCAGGUUGAAGGUGCGGUAAGACGCACUGGAGGACCGAACCAGGACACGUUGAAAAGUGUUUGGAUGACUUGUGGAUAGCGGAGAAAUUCCAAACGAACUGGGAGAUAGCUGGUUCUCUCCGAAAUAGCUUUAGGGCUAGCGUCGCAAUUUAAGUGUAUUGGAGGUAGAGCACUGUUUGGAUGAGGGGCCCAUCUCGGGUUACCAAUUUCAGAUAAACUCCGAAUGCUAAUACACAUGUGCGGCAGUCAGACUGCGAGUGCUAAGAUCCGUAGUCGAAAGGGAAACAGCCCAGACCACCAGCUAAGGUCCCAAAAUAUAUGUUAAGUGGAAAAGGAUGUGGGGUUGCACAGACAACUAGGAUGUUAGCUCAGAAGCAGCUAUCAUUCAAAGAGUGCGUAAUAGCUCACUAGUCGAGUGACCCUGCGCCGAAAAUGUACCGGGGCUAAACAUAUUACCGAAGCUGUGGAUUUAAUAUUAAUUAAAUGGUAGGAGAGCGUUGUAAUCAGCGAUGAAGGUAUACCGUGAGGGGUGCUGGAGCGAUUACAAGUGAGAAUGCCGGUAUGAGUAGCGCAAGAUAAGUGAGAAUCUUAUCCACCGUAAGACUAAGGUUUCCAGGGGAAGGCUCGUCCGCCCUGGGUUAGUCGGGACCUAAGGCGAGGCCGAAAGGCGUAGUCGAUGGACAACAGGUUGAUAUUCCUGUACUAGUAUUGUUAGUGAUGGAGGGACGCAGUAGGCUAAAGGGAGCCAGUUAAUGGAUUCUGGUCUAAGCAGUGAGGUGUGGAAUGUGUCAAAUGCAUUUUCCUUUAACAUUGAGCUGUGAUGGGGAAGCAACUACGGUUGCGAAGCCCUUGAUGUCACACUGCCAAGAAAAUCUUCUAGCGUUUAAUUCAAUACUACCCGUACCGCAAACCGACACAGGUAGUCGAGGCGAGUAGCCUCAGGUGAUCGAGAGAACUCUCGUUAAGGAACUCGGCAAAAUGACCCCGUAACUUCGGGAGAAGGGGUGCUGUAGAAAUACAGCCGCAGUGAAAAGAUCCAAGCAACUGUUUAUCAAAAACACAGCUCUCUGCUAAACCGCAAGGUGAUGUAUAGGGGGUGACGCCUGCCCGGUGCUGGAAGGUUAAGAGGAGGGGUUAGACAUUAGUCGAAGCUCUGAAUUGAAGCCCCAGUAAACGGCGGCCGUAACUAUAACGGUCCUAAGGUAGCGAAAUUCCUUGUCGGGUAAGUUCCGACCCGCACGAAAGGCGUAAUGAUUUGGAUACUGUCUCAACGAGAGACUCGGUGAAAUUUUAGUACCUGUGAAGAUGCAGGUUACCCGCGACAGGACGGAAAGACCCCAUGGAGCUUUACUGCAGAUUGAUAUUGAGUACCUGUGAAGCAUGUACAGGAUAGGUAGGAGACUUUGACCUUGGGACGCUAGUUUCAAGUGAGUCGCUGUUGGGAUACUACCCUUGCUUCAUGGUUGCUCUAACCCACACGCAUAAUCGGCGUGGGAGACAGUGUCUGUCGGGCAGUUUGACUGGGGCGGUCGCCUCCUAAAGAGUAACGGAGGCGCCCAAAGGUUCCCUCAACAUGGUUGGAAAUCAUGUGUAGAGUGUAAAGGUAUAAGGGAGCUUGACUGCGAGAGCUACAACUCGAGCAGGUAGGAAACUAGGGCUUAGUGAUCCGGUGGUACCGCAUGGAAGGGCCAUCGCUCAACGGAUAAAAGCUACCCUGGGGAUAACAGGCUUAUCUCCCCCAAGAGUUCACAUCGACGGGGAGGUUUGGCACCUCGAUGUCGGCUCGUCGCAUCCUGGGGCUGUAGUCGGUCCCAAGGGUUGGGCUGUUCGCCCAUUAAAGCGGCACGCGAGCUGGGUUCAGAACGUCGUGAGACAGUUCGGUCCCUAUCCGUCGCGGGCGUAGGAAAUUUGAGAGGAUCUGCCCUUAGUACGAGAGGACCGGGGUGGACUUACCGCUGGUGUACCAGUUGUUCCGCCAGGAGCACCGCUGGGUAGCUAUGUAGGGAAGGGAUAAGCGCUGAAAGCAUCUAAGUGCGAAGCCCACCUCAAGAUGAGAUUUCCCAUUCUUUAUGAAUUAAGAGCCCUGAGAGAUGAUCAGGUUGAUAGGCUGGAAGUGGAAGUCCUGCGAGGGAUGGAGCGGACCAGUACUAAUAGCUCGAGGACUUUACCAA
This 2902-nucleotide ribosomal RNA is filed under the name Lactococcus garvieae. RNAcentral's name for it is "23S ribosomal RNA". It matches the Rfam family "Bacterial large subunit ribosomal RNA". Lineage: Bacteria; Bacillati; Bacillota; Bacilli; Lactobacillales; Streptococcaceae. The record is from RNAcentral.